This 253-nucleotide ribosomal RNA is filed under the name uncultured bacterium. RNAcentral describes it as "partial 16S ribosomal RNA". It matches the Rfam family "Bacterial small subunit ribosomal RNA", at positions 524 to 776 of the family's 1533-position model. The record is from RNAcentral.
UACAGAGGUCUCGAGCGUUAGGCGGAAUCACUGGGCUUAAAGCGUGUGUAGGCGGAUCGGUGAGUACCUUGUGAAAUCCCACAGCUUAACUGUGGAACUGCUUGGUAUACUGCCAGUCUUGAGCCACUUAGGGGCUACCGGAACAAAUGGUGGAGCGGUGAAAUGCGUAGAUAUCAUUUGGAACGCCAAUGGUGAAAACAGGUAGCUGGGAGUGUGCUGACGCUGAGACACGAAAGCCAGGGGAGCAAACGGG